AUGUUGUUGAGGCUUCUUCAACUUCUUCGUGAAAAAUCUCUUCUCACUCUCUUCUUCCUCACCGCUGCAACUCCAUCAUUAUUCGCCGUCGCCGACGAUUCUCUUCAACCAGUAACGGAUGCACAUAGCCUUCGUAUCCGCCGUUACUGCCGUACGCCGCUCAUCACCUCAACAUCUCCGAUUUGCUAUAAGGAUCAUCACCUCCGCUCAUCUUCAACGAUUCUCUUCGUCUCACUUCAUCACUCUCCACUUCAGAAGCAUCGCAUUCAUUUUCAAACAUUCUUGACUCCGACGUUCAUCUCCUCAGUUCCGGUUUAG
Molecule: non-coding RNA, 318 nt
Organism: Vicia faba (fava bean)
Lineage: Eukaryota; Viridiplantae; Streptophyta; Magnoliopsida; Fabales; Fabaceae
Source: the annotation of a GenBank genome assembly